Molecule: ribosomal RNA, 466 nt
Filed under: [Eubacterium] minutum
Lineage: Bacteria; Bacillati; Bacillota; Clostridia; Peptostreptococcales; Anaerovoracaceae
Description: bacterial SSU rRNA
Rfam family: Bacterial small subunit ribosomal RNA
Source: RNAcentral
GAUGAACGCUGGCGGCGUGCCUAACACAUGCAAGUCGAGCGAGAAGCCAUAAAAGGACACUUCGGUAGAAUUAUAUGGCGGAAAGCGGCGGACGGGUGAGUAACGCGUGGGAAACCUGCCUUUCACAGAGGGAUAGCCGAAGGAAACUACGAUUAAUACCUCAUAAAGCAAAAGCUUCGCAUGGAGCGAUUGCCAAAGAAUAAUCGGUGAAAGAUGGUCCCGCGUCUGAUUAGUUAGUUGGUAAGGUAGCGGCUUACCAAGGCGACGAUCAGUAGCCGGCCUGAGAGGGUGAACGGCCACAUUGGAACUGAGACACGGUCCAGACUCCUACGGGAGGCAGCAGUGGGGGAUAUUGCACAAUGGGCGAAAGCCUGAUGUAGCAACGCCGCGUGAAGGAAGAAGGCUUUCGAGUCGUAAACUUCUGUCCAAAGGGAAGAAAAGAUGACGUACCUUGAGAAGCCCCGCA